This 67-nucleotide transfer RNA is filed under the name Chaetogeoica yunlongensis. RNAcentral's name for it is "tRNA-Trp". The record is from RNAcentral. Lineage: Eukaryota; Metazoa; Arthropoda; Insecta; Hemiptera; Aphididae. RNAcentral also lists the same sequence under 1 other name.
AAGAUUUUAAGUUAAAAUAAACUAUUAAUCUUCAAAAUUAAAAAUAUUAUAAAUAUUAUAAAUCUUA